CAGCAGCCGCGGGAAUACGAAGGGUGCAAGCGUUACUCGGAAUUACUGGGCGUAAAGCGUGCGUAGGUGGUGGUUUAAGUCCGUUGUGAAAGCCCUGGGCUCAACCUGGGAAUUGCAGUGGAUACUGGGUCACUAGAGUGUGGUAGAGGAUAGUGGAAUUUCCGGUGUAGCAGUGAAAUGCGUAGAGAUCGGAAGGAACAUCUGUGGCGAAGGCGACUAUCUGGGCCAACACUGACACUGAGGCACGAAAGCGUGGGGAGCAAACAGGAUUAGAUACCCGGGUAGUUCCUGUCUCUUAUAC
This 301-nucleotide ribosomal RNA is filed under the name uncultured bacterium. RNAcentral describes it as "partial 16S ribosomal RNA". It matches the Rfam family "Bacterial small subunit ribosomal RNA", at positions 509 to 807 of the family's 1533-position model. The record is from RNAcentral.